This 253-nucleotide ribosomal RNA is filed under the name uncultured bacterium. RNAcentral describes it as "partial 16S ribosomal RNA". It matches the Rfam family "Bacterial small subunit ribosomal RNA", at positions 524 to 776 of the family's 1533-position model. The record is from RNAcentral.
UACGUAGGGAGCGAGCGUUGUCCGGAUUCAUUGGGCGUAAAGAGUGUGUAGGCGGUGCUCUAAGUUUGUCGUGAAAUCUCCCGGCUUAACUGGGAGGGUGCGGCGAAAACUGGAGUGCUAGAGGGUGGGAGAGGAAAGCGGAAUUCCUGGUGUAGCGGUGAAAUGCGUAGAUAUCAGGAGGACCACCUGCGGUGUAGACAGCUUUCUGGACCACUUCUGACGCUGAGACACGAAAGCGUGGGUAGCAAACAGG